AGUUAGCCGUGGCUUAUUCCUCAGGUACCGUCAUUAUCGUCCCUGAGAAAAGAGGUUUACAACCCGAAGGCCUUCAUCCCUCACGCGGCGUUGCUGCCUCAGGGUUUCCCCCAUUGGGCAAAAUUCCCGA
This 130-nucleotide ribosomal RNA is filed under the name uncultured bacterium. RNAcentral's name for it is "partial 16S ribosomal RNA". The record is from RNAcentral.